This 680-nucleotide ribosomal RNA is filed under the name uncultured bacterium. RNAcentral describes it as "bacterial SSU rRNA". It matches the Rfam family "Bacterial small subunit ribosomal RNA", at positions 140 to 807 of the family's 1533-position model. The record is from RNAcentral.
GGGAUAUCACUUGGAAACAGGUGCUAAUACCGCAUAACCAUAGUUACCGCAUGGUAACUAUGUAAAAGGUGGCUAUGCUACCGCUUUUGGAUGGGCCCGCGGCGCAUUAGCUAGUUGGUGGGGUAAAGGCUUACCAAGGCAAUGAUGCGUAGCCGAACUGAGAGGUUGAUCGGCCACAUUGGGACUGAGACACGGCCCAAACUCCUACGGGAGGCAGCAGUAGGGAAUCUUCCACAAUGGGCGAAAGCCUGAUGGAGCAACGCCGCGUGGGUGAAGAAGGUCUUCGGAUCGUAAAACCCUGUUGUUAGAGAAGAAAGUGCGUGAGAGUAACUGUUCACGUUUCGACGGUAUCUAACCAGAAAGCCACGGCUAACUACGUGCCAGCAGCCGCGGUAAUACGUAGGUGGCAAGCGUUAUCCGGAUUUAUUGGGCGUAAAGGGAACGCAGGCGGUCUUUUAAGUCUGAUGUGAAAGCCUUCGGCUUAACCGGAGUAGUGCAUUGGAAACUGGGAGACUUGAGUGCAGAAGAGGGGAGUGGAACUCCAUGUGUAGCGGUGAAAUGCGUAGAUAUAUGGAAGAACACCAGUGGCGAAAGCGGCUCUCUGGUCUGUAACUGACGCUGAGGUUCGAAAGCGUGGGUAGCAAACAGGAUUAGAUACCCUGGUAGUCCACGCCGUAAAC